This 722-nucleotide long non-coding RNA is filed under the name Cyanistes caeruleus (blue tit). Its description in RNAcentral is "lncRNA (ENSCCEG00000013690.1)". Lineage: Eukaryota; Metazoa; Chordata; Aves; Passeriformes; Paridae. The record is from RNAcentral.
GCUGGUGUUUGCAGCUCAGUCAGUUAAUUGAAACAAAAGCUGGAAGCAAGGAGCUACCCUGGAAAGACAAUGGCUGAAAAGGAACUACAGUCCAGCAUUUCAGAUAUUCGAAGAGAAGUAGCUUGGCCCUCACAGUGUCUCGGGCAGUGUAGAGUCAGUAGCUGGACAGUCUAUGACAAAGGAUUGCCAUCCACGCUAACCAGGAGAACAGAAGUUUUUGAGACAUCUGCCAGUGAUAACAAGGAAUGGAUGCUAGGGAAUAGUCCAGAAGAGAAAACAUGAGUGAUGUUUAUCAUCUGGAUUCUAAAGGAAAAGGAAUAAGCUCUUUGAGGAGACGUUUUGCUUCAGGAAGGACAACACCAAUUUCCAAAAUCUCCCACACUUUUCUCCUAAAAAAGAUAUCCAUGUAAUGAAGUGUCCUAGGAGGACUAUGCAACCAUGCAACUAAACAGUCUUUUUUGACUGGAAUAACUAGAAUAUUUCAUGGCCUGAAAAAUUUGGGUUAAAGUGAAUUUAGAAAUUUCUGGAUCUAUUAUGAUGCUGGUAGCAGAUCUUUUCUAUUAUUGAAAUUCUGUAAUUUCCUUCCAACAAAGAGUUAUCAAAAACAGGUGUGCUUUAUUCAUAUCAUAUGUAUGAAUUUUUUUCAAGAAACAAAAGGAAAACUGAUUAUUUCUGUAAGAAAAAAUCUGCAUUAGGGAAGAUAUUUUUUUCUCUCGAUCAUU